Molecule: unclassified non-coding RNA, 143 nt
Filed under: uncultured fungus
Lineage: Eukaryota; Fungi
Description: sequence contains ITS1
Source: RNAcentral
UUAUUUCUUGUAUUUUAUUCAGACACAAAGACUGAGUAAGGCAUAAAAGCGGCGCCUCGGCGCCGAAGCACAUCUCGCUUCCACAGGUUUGCAAGGUUGAAGGCCAUUCAGUAAUGAUCCCUCCGCAGGUUCACCUACGGAGA